Molecule: ribosomal RNA, 254 nt
Filed under: uncultured bacterium
Lineage: Bacteria
Description: partial 16S ribosomal RNA
Rfam family: Bacterial small subunit ribosomal RNA
Source: RNAcentral
UACGUAGGGAGCGAGCGUUGUCCGAAGUUACUGGGCGUAAAGCGCGCGUAGGCGGGUUUGAAAGUCGGAGGUGAAAUGCUGGGGCUCAACUCCAUGCAGUGCCUCCGAUACUUCAAGUCUUGAGUGCGGUAGGGAGAAGUGGAAUGGCUGGUGUAGCGGUGAAAUGCGUAGAUAUUAGGAAGAACACCGGUGGCGAAGGCGGCCCACUGGAUCGGUACUGACGCUGAGGUGCGAAAGCGUGGGGAGCGAACAGG